This 253-nucleotide ribosomal RNA is filed under the name uncultured bacterium. RNAcentral's name for it is "partial 16S ribosomal RNA". It matches the Rfam family "Bacterial small subunit ribosomal RNA", at positions 524 to 776 of the family's 1533-position model. The record is from RNAcentral.
UACGGAGGAUCCGAGCGUUAUCCGGAUUUAUUGGGUUUAAAAGGAGCGUAGGUGGAUUGUUAAGUCAGUUGUGAAAGUUUGCGGCUCAACCGUAAAAUUGCAGUUGAAACUGGCAGUCUUGAGUACAGUAGAGGUGGGCGGAAUUCGUGGUGUAGCGGUGAAAUGCUUAGAUAUCACGAAGAACUCCGAUUGCGAAGGCAGCUCACUAGACUGCAACUGACACUGAUGCUCGAAAGUGUGGGUAUCAAACAGG